RNAcentral lists this ribosomal RNA (377 nucleotides) under uncultured bacterium. RNAcentral describes it as "bacterial SSU rRNA". It matches the Rfam family "Bacterial small subunit ribosomal RNA", at positions 521 to 896 of the family's 1533-position model. The record is from RNAcentral.
UAAUACGUAGGGACCAAGCGUUGUUCGGAUUUACUGGGCGUAAAGGGCGCGUAGGCGGCGUGUCAAGUCAAUUGUGAAAUCUCCGGGCUUAACUCGGAACGGUCAAUUGAUACUGAUGUGCUAGAGUGCAGAAGGGGCAAUCGGAAUUCUUGGUGUAGCGGUGAAAUGCGUAGAUAUCAAGAGGAACACCUGAGGUGAAGACGGGUUGCUGGGCUGACACUGACGCUGAGGCGCGAAAGCUAGGGUAGCAAACGGGAUUAGAUACCCCGGUAGUCCUAGCCCUAAACGAUGAAUACUUGGUGUCUGGAGUUUUAAUUCUCCGGGUGCCGUCGCUAACGUUUUUAGUAUUCCGCCUGGGGAGUACGCACGCAAGUGUG